This 487-nucleotide ribosomal RNA is filed under the name uncultured bacterium. RNAcentral describes it as "partial 16S ribosomal RNA". It matches the Rfam family "Bacterial small subunit ribosomal RNA", at positions 28 to 507 of the family's 1533-position model. The record is from RNAcentral.
GAUGAACGCUAGCGAUAGGCUUAACACAUGCAAGUCGAGGGGCAGCACAAGGUAGCUUGCUAUCUGGGUGGCGACCGGCGCCCGGGUGCGUAACGCGUAUGCAACUUGCCCUAUACAGGAGGAUAACCCGUCGAAAGACGGACUAAUACUGCGUAUGCUCACAACUUGGCAUCAAGUGGUGAGGAAAGAAAUUCGGUAUAGGAUAGGCAUGCGUCCCAUUAGCUUGUUGGUGAGGUAACGGCUCACCAAGGCAACGAUGGGUAGGGGAACUGAGAGGUUUAUCCCCCACACUGGUACUGAGACACGGACCAGACUCCUACGGGAGGCAGCAGUGAGGAAUAUUGGUCAAUGGGCGCGAGCCUGAACCAGCCAAGUCGCGUGAAGGAUGACUGUCUUAUGGAUUGUAAACUUCUUUUAUACGGGAAUAACAAGAGUCACGUGUGACUCCCUGCAUGUACCGUAUGAAUAAGCAUCGGCUAACUCCGUG